Hypsibius dujardini is the source of this 72-nucleotide transfer RNA. It matches the Rfam family "tRNA". Rfam says of the family: Transfer RNA (tRNA) molecules are approximately 80 nucleotides in length. Their secondary structure includes four short double-helical elements and three loops (D, anti-codon, and T loops). Further hydrogen bonds mediate the characteristic L-shaped molecular structure. tRNAs have two regions of fundamental functional importance: the anti-codon, which is responsible for specific mRNA codon recognition, and the 3' end, to which the tRNAs corresponding amino acid is attached (by aminoacyl-tRNA synthetases). tRNAs cope with the degeneracy of the genetic code in two manners: having more than one tRNA (with a specific anti-codon) for a particular amino acid; and 'wobble' base-pairing, i.e. permitting non-standard base-pairing at the 3rd anti-codon position. The record is from Rfam. NCBI's taxonomy places the organism in Eukaryota, Metazoa, Tardigrada, Eutardigrada, Parachela, Hypsibiidae.
GGGGGUAUAGCUCAGUGGUAGAGCAGCCGACUGCAGAUCGGCAGGUCACCGGUUCAAGCCCGGUUGCCCCCU